This is a non-coding RNA of Acanthosepion pharaonis, 85 nucleotides long. Lineage: Eukaryota; Metazoa; Mollusca; Cephalopoda; Sepiida; Sepiidae. The record is from the annotation of a GenBank genome assembly.
CCCCAUAAGACCACUGAUGUUAAGCAAUGUCUUGCCUGGUCAGUACCAAGGUGGGUGACUACUUGGGAAUACCAGGUGCUGUAAU